UUCCUUCACACCAAAGCAGUUUGGAAUGAAACAGGGGAACGUCUUUGACCCACUCAAACUCCAAAUGAAAACAAAAUCUGGAAAACGUUUAGAUACUAAGCCAUUGAACCAAGGUUGUUAACACUGGAUUCUCUGGCUUGAAAGGCACUAGGAUAGGGAGGAGCAAGUGCAUUGAUUGGUGGCACUCAUCACUUUCACUUCUGUUUCUAUCAUCAAGGAAGUGCAAGCAUUACUGAGAGCUACCUGUAUAUUCCACCUGCUCCAGUUACUGAGUGUGAUAGAGUCAGUGCCAAAAGCAGGUAUCACAAGGGAUUUAUUACACUUCUGUGAAUUUUUCCUGGGAGAGGAGGAAAGAAGAGAGCCAAAAAUGUUACAAGAAAGGAAGCCAUCAGCUGAGAGUUCCUCGGAAUUGUUCCUGCACAAGAAACAGAUGAAACCACAGAAUGCUCUGUGUACAAAGUGCAAAGUACAAAAGCUAGUUUACAUUUGCAAGUGUUUGUUGUAUUUCCUAUGCCGAAUACAAUAAAUACGCAGUAAAAUAAAAUAUGGAGGUGUGGGAAAUGAUUUUAUUUAAUGUUUAUUAAAAAUAAUGCCAAAGUCAUGGUUGCUGAUAUUUAUCUUUAAUUACACAUCUCUGCCACUACAAUGCAAGACGUUGCUGAUUGAAGCUCAGGCAAAAAGAGAUGUGUUUAUUAUGGGAUGAAAUGUACUUAUUACAGAAUGAAAGUUUAAUUUUCCUACAGAUUGCACCAUCAGGAUACAAGAAAGGGAAGAGAAAAAUGAAAGGUGAAACCGUGUUCAUUUUGCCCAAGCUGUUAUGUAUAGUUUCUCUGAGAGCUUCUGUGCUAUUUGUUGUACGUUGUUUACAAAUAUGCAGUUUUUAAUUUAAGCUAUUUUGCCUUACAAACUUUUAGUUUUAGACCUCAGUCCUGUAAAAACUGAGCACAUGUAAAUGGUUGCAGGAGCUAGGUUUAAUUUAAUAGACAAACUUCUUCGCCAUUGUAGCGGGGUGGUCACCCCACUCCGGCCCUCAAGGGGUUAAAGCAGCCCUG
Long non-coding RNA from Gopherus evgoodei (Goodes thornscrub tortoise), 1052 nucleotides. RefSeq lists it as uncharacterized. The record is from RefSeq and is a predicted model, not a curated record. Lineage: Eukaryota; Metazoa; Chordata; Testudines; Testudinidae. The transcript is spliced from 3 exons.